ACACAUGCAAGUCGAACGAUGAACCACUUCGGUGGGGAUUAGUGGCGAACGGGUGAGUAACACGUGGGCAAUCUGCCCUGCACUCUGGGACAAGCCCUGGAAACGGGGUCUAAUACCGGAUACUGAUUGUCUUGGGCAUCCUUGAUGAUCGAAAGCUCCGGCGGUGCAGGAUGAGCCCGCGGCCUAUCAGCUUGUUGGUGAGGUAACGGCUCACCAAGGCGACGACGGGUAGCCGGCCUGAGAGGGCGACCGGCCACACUGGGACUGAGACACGGCCCAGACUCCUACGGGAGGCAGCAGUGGGGAAUAUUGCACAAUGGGCGCAAGCCUGAUGCAGCGACGCCGCGUGAGGGAUGACGGCCUUCGGGUUGUAAACCUCUUUCAGCAGGGAAGAAGCGAAAGUGACGGUACCUGCAGAAGAAGCGCCGGCUAACUACGUGCCAGCAGCCGCGGUAAUACGUAGGGCGCAAGCGUUGUCCGGAAUUAUUGGGCGUAAAGAGCUCGUAGGCGGCUUGUCGCGUCGGUUGUGAAAGCCCGGGGCUUAACCCCGGGUCUGCAGUCGAUACGGGCAGGCUAGAGUUCGGUAGGGGAGAUCGGAAUUCCUGGUGUAGCGGUGAAAUGCGCAGAUAUCAGGAGGAACACCGGUGGCGAAGGCGGAUCUCUGGGCCGAUACUGACGCUGAGGAGCGAAAGCGUGGGGAGCGAACAGGAUUAGAUACCCUGGUAGUCCACGCCGUAAACGGUGGGCACUAGGUGUGGGCAACA
This 764-nucleotide ribosomal RNA is filed under the name Streptomyces sp. Its description in RNAcentral is "bacterial SSU rRNA". It matches the Rfam family "Bacterial small subunit ribosomal RNA", at positions 51 to 831 of the family's 1533-position model. Lineage: Bacteria; Bacillati; Actinomycetota; Actinomycetes; Kitasatosporales; Streptomycetaceae. The record is from RNAcentral.